This 5944-nucleotide long non-coding RNA is filed under the name Citrus x clementina. RNAcentral's name for it is "Citrus clementina (C. clementina) long non-coding RNA (CCLE_LNC005173)". The record is from RNAcentral. Lineage: Eukaryota; Viridiplantae; Streptophyta; Magnoliopsida; Sapindales; Rutaceae.
UAAUCACAAAAAAAUUAAUACAGUACAGUGUAGCACCAAACAUUGUACAAUAUUAUUAUAAUACAGUGCUAAUACAAUACAGCAUAAUACAAUACACCAGCAUUAAAAUAAUGCAAUACAGCAUAAUACAAUACAAUAUGCCAAAUGCACCCUAAGGGCACUUGUCUCCUGUUAAUUAUUUUUCCCUAAUAGCUAUUCACUGUUGGUAGCUGUAUAGCUUUGUCGUAAGGCAAGUUAAAUUGCAUAGAUGACUUUCGCAUGUCUGGUCGCACAAUUAAUAUGUCUUAGCACACACUUUAUAUAUGCAGGACUACUUGAGUGGCUCAUAUAUGCAUUCUUUUAAGAGAGUUGGAAACCAUCCACAUAUGGCAAUUAUGCAUGCUUGAAUGCACUUUUGUGCAAUUGGUAAUUAUUCUUGGUUGAAUGCACUUUUGCAUAAUUGGUAAUUAUUUGUGCUAGAAUGCACUUCGUUCUAAUGAUGAUAAUUUGUGUUUCAUCUACACGUUAUUUUGAUGGUGAUAGUUCAUGCUUAAUCUACAUGACAUUAUCUGAUGGUGAUAACUCACGCCCAACCAGAACAUAAUUCUGAUUGCAAUAAUUCAUGCCUAGUCAACAUAAUAUUUUGACGGUGAUUAGUCUACUUCAUCUUGCUCAGAUACGAGCAAUUCGUGUUUGCACUUUUACCCAAAUGUAUGUUUAAGUUGGGGCAAUAAGCCAAUCUUCCCAUUUUUAUGUAGAUGACUCACAAUCAUCUACAUGUUGUCUAGACAAUAGUAACCAAUGAUUGUCAAUGAGCAGUUGAAUGGGUGAUUAUGGUCCAUGAAUCUUUAUCCUCUGCUUGGAGGAUAUAAUUGUUCGCACCUCAUAGGAUAGGAUAAUUCACAAUGGUCGGAGGGUAGUAUAAUCCGUGCAUUAAAGCGAAAAAUAAUUCGUGUUUAAAAGGCAACAUAAUUUGUGCCUCAAAGGGCAACAUGAUUCGUGCCUCAUUGAGCAACAUAAUUUGUGCCUCAUAGGGCAACAUAAUUCAUGCCUCAUAAAGCAAUAUGAUUUUUGCCUUAAUAUGCAAUAUAAUUCAUUACUUAGAGUGAAAUAUAAUUCGUGCCUUACAAGGCAGCAUAAUACAUACAUCGUAUGAUAGUUUUAAUCCAUGCCACAAAGGGCCAUGUAAUUUGUGGCCACGAAGGGCCAUGUAAUUUGUGCCUCAUAGGGCAAUAUAAUUCGUUCUUCGUAAGUCCAUUUUAAUUAAUGCCAUGGAGGGCCAUGUAAUUUGUGCCUUGUUGGGUAGUAAGGCAAUUUUAAUCCAUACCACAAAGGGCCAUGAAAUUUAUGCCUUGUAGGGCAAUAAUUACCCAUCAUAUGUGUUAGGAUCCUUUAAAUGUGAGGACUUCUCGAGAUCAUUCAAUUCCACUUGAUUUAAGGUAGUAAAUAUUAGGAUUCUUAUUUUUCUAGGUUUCCUAAGUACAUUGAUUUUACUGCACUUCCAAUCUUUAAUUGCUGAGCAACGAAAAGGACAAUUUUUGAAGUAAAAGAAGGGCUAUAAAAUAAAUUCAUAACUAUAGCUACAUUCCUUGCGUUGAGAGCUUUAAAACGGUAUAUUGAGGGCCCAAGUCUGACAUGAUAUGCCCAAGUUACGGUCCGUUUAAGCUCAAUGGCUCUGCAAGGCAAGGCCCAUGCGGCUACGGGUUUUAAUUUUAGGUUUUUUUUUGUAUUUUUAAGUUAAAUUAGGGUUAGCCACCUUUUAUAAAUACUCUUUUAUGUUUUUUGAAUGCACCUUUGAUGAUCUUGAGUUUGAUAUCAAUGGAGAGGAUUUUUUGAACUUGUUCUUGAAAGAACAUUUGACUUAUCAAAGGAGUUGCUAACCUUUGUGGUGUCUUGUUUAGCAAUCCGGGUUCUUGAAACUUAGCUUCUCAAGGAUUUGGAUCUUUUAUCCGAAUUCUAAUCAUAUCAACUUUCUUAGGUUCUUAUCAAUCUAGUUGUGGGUUUGUCAUAAUCGCCUCACAUGGCUACAGAGUCAUUCGGGAAUCUCGGGUUUUUCUGCUUUCAAUAAAGGACAUGGGUCCUACCUUGUCUAAAGUGUGUUUUAGCUUUUAUGCUUUUUAAAGUAAAUUAUUAUGGUUUGCUUUUGCUUUUGCUUUUUCUUUAUAAAAAGAUAAGGGUCUUGUCUUAUCUUUAUCUUUUAGCUUUCCAGCUCUAUUUAAGAGCUCUUCCGUCCUUAUAAAAUUCAGAUUGCCAUCAAUAAUAUUUCUAAGUUUUUCCUAAACUUCUAUGGCUUCCUAAGUCUCUCUUCUUCUUCUUCUAGGUAACGAAGAAAAUACUUGAGUUAUUAAACUAAGAGCGUUGAUCUCUAUUUUCUACACUGAGUAUGCUCUACACUUGCCUUGCUUUAAGGAUCCUGUGUAUCAGAAAAGUCAUGAUUUAUUUAUAAAACCGAUUUAAAAUAAAAUUAUUUUCUCACAACGUUCACCCUCUUUAAAGGUCAGAGGUGACCUGUUUUCGGGUGGUAUCGUGAUCAAUGGUUUUUGCUUUUUUUGGUUUUACAUCUCAGGGACUACAGGUAUAUCGGCUGGAAACCAGAACUUGCGGACUACUGGUCCAAAGGAUAGUCUAGCACUAUCAUAGUUCAGGUGUAACAACGUCACGUACCUGUAUACACCCAAGGGGUUUUCAUCAUUUGUCAUCAAUUCUCUCAUGAAGUUGCAGUAUGAAACUCAUAAUUUGCUGUGUUUGAGGUCAUGAUCUUCCCAUGUGGGCUUGCAUGACGCUAGAUCUUUCUUAAAUGUAAAUGCUUAUGUAAGAACAAAUGAUUCCUUUAAUAGAGAAUACAAACUCUCUCAAAAGUAAUUUGUGUUUAACGAAGUUAGCAAACACAAUGAUUAAUUUCACAUUUCCAAGUAAAUAAGAAACAAAUGCACAUAUAACACUCCCUAAACCAAGUUUUAUUCUUCCCUUUCAGAUGAGAUUAACUAGCUUAGGUGGUGAUUGUUCCAACAUAGUGUAUAACAUAGAAAAGAUAAAUAUUUCAAAAUAGGUAGUAAGCAUAUUGAUUUCUCAAGCUUCAACUUAUAACAAAGUCAAUCAUACUAGAACUCAUAUAGUUUAAUUGCGUCGAUUCUCACGUUGCCUUUUUUCCAUGCUUGAUCAUAACAUUGUUGAAUAUAGGUUUUAUGAUAUGAUCAAUUUGGAAGUUCCAUACAUGGGUCAUGUAAAACUUAUUGCAAUAUCUUUCUUUUGAUCUCCCCUUUGUUUGGCUUGGUGUAGGGUGGAAACUGUGAUAAUUAUAAUAAGAUGAAAUUUGAUGAUGGAAUUCUCCUUAACGAGACAUAAAAAACUCAUCUAACAUAGUUUCAGCUUUGUAACGAAGGUAGCCAUUUUGGACUUCUAAUUUUGAGUUAUAGGUGGAGCCAUAUUGUUACUCUCAUCUACGCUCUGAUUACUAUGGUUGACUAUUCAACGCUUGGCAAAAAUAAAGUUGCGCUUUCUAGUUUCUUUAUUAUUCUUUUCUUUUUCUAUGUAGGAAGUAUCUUAUCUUUGUGGAGCACUACGCUGACCCUUGCUUAGAUAAAGGAUGUUAUUCGUACCUGUACGUUUUUGCCAUUUAACAGUGGUAGAGCAUUCUAUCAAGCAAAUGUUAGUUGUAUAUAAAACAUAUAAUUUGAUAAUACUUGCUCUUGUGUAUCUGAUGCAAAUCUGACUUUUCUUCCCUAAAUUGGCGCUUAAAAUCGAGCUUAGUGAAUAUCAAGACAGGUUAACGUGAAAAAAAAUAAAGUUUUAACAUUCCUUCUUCAGUGGUCUUAUGUUAGACUAACACUGACAAUGAUGUAUGCUACAAUUAAAGAUUUUAAAAUUUCCAAUCAUGAGAUUAAUGCUCUCAUAAAUAGCUAACCAUGCUAUGUUUCCUAAGUUGUUAGGAGUUGAGUUUUUACCCUGCUUUAGCCAGCGGUUGUAAUACCCCUAUUCCCUUAACAUAUAUGAUUUUUUUUUUAUAAGAGCAUUUAUGAAUUAGUCACAAUUGAAAUUGUAAGUAGCUUCACAUUGACAUUUUGUUGUCCUUGAGUAGAUAGUUUUUUCUUCCAAAACUUGAGCUUAACAAUGCAAAUGAAAAAAAAAAUUGGUCAUAAUGAUUUCUCAACUACACUAUUGGUUAACAAUUUUAAUCCUUUUCAGCCAUAGUUUUCAUACUUUGCUUCCAUAGCUUAUCUCAUAGCAAGCAUAGACUUAUCAUAUCUUUACCCCUUAAGGUGUCAAAAUGUCACAUUUCAGUUGGUAAUAAGAGAACUUUCUACCUGCUCGAAGUGCCAUUACAUUCAUCUCAUAAAUAUGACCUUCAGGCUGAACUUCUAGCUUUAAGGUGGCAUGCAAUGAAAUUUGCUUCAGUUAUUAUGAUUACUCAUGCAAUGUAAUUUACUAACAAGAAGCUAUAUACAAGUGUGCUAUAAUCUUAGCACUAAUAUAUAAGCCUCCUUAAACUAGGUUAGCUUCACAUAGCGUAUGUUUAUAUGAAAAUGUAAUCAUUAUCAAUUCAAAAGAUUUAAGCACUAAUAGAUUCAAGAAAAACCUGGUGACCAUUAAAAUGGUCGCAAUACUUAGCUUUUAAAGGAAAAGCUUGGGCAGCAAAAUUUCAUGGUUGGUGUAAUUUUACUCUCCCAACGAAGCUAGAGUCAUUAAAGCCUAUGUUUUUAUUUGGUUUUAGGUACGUCUUCCAAUUUCUUGGAUAUUUAUUUUUAAAUCCUUUAUUGUCUUCAAGCUUUUGCUUUUCUCGAUUUGAUUGUUUAUUUUCCAUCAUUUCAUGCAACAAAGUUCGACUAGAAAAUGAUAUUUUUCCAGCCCUCUAGAUAGACAUUCUCUUCUUUUUAAUCUUGCUAAAAUUUUGUGAAUUUUAGGACGACUUGUGUCUUAGAAGACAUGUUCAAGUUAGAAGUGAAUUGCUAUGGCGAACUCGACAACGAUGUGACUUGUCUUGUAUCAUUGUAAUCAAUGAUUGUGUUGGCAAAAAGGCUCUUGUUCUCACACCAACUGGUGAUGCUUGAUUUUUUUUCCAGCCUGUACACAUUGUAACAAACAAAAAGUGGAAAAAUUGGCCUGGGAAAAGGGAUUUCCGGCCAUCUCACUCCAAUGCUUAAGUCAGUGGGUGGAGAAUUUAAGUUGAAUCAUAAAAUUAAAGUUCUAGUGAACUUACCUCUCUUUGAGAGAGUAAUUGGGUAUUUAUAGUAUACCACAUUUUUGGGUGUGUGGGUCAGCUUAUUUUGGUGAAUGCAAGGAGCUAUUAACUUCAUCUCCUGUAUUUUGGGAGAGCAUAGGAUGGUGGCGUACCUGGCAUAAUUUGACACUUGAGGUCAUUUUGAGGAGAAGAUGAAGCACAAUUUUUAAGAUUGAGGAUCAUGCCCCUACUCUCGUGUGCUUGGUGGUCUGGUAGUCAAUUUCUUCAUUCAUUUUUAUCGUGCUUCUAUGAAUCUCUUCUAUUAAUAAGCCUUAUCCCCACAUUUUUGCCUUGCUAGCUUACUAUCUUUGACCAAUUCAUGACCUCCAUCAAGAGUUCCUUGUUUCUUACCUUUAGAGGUCCUUAAUUCCCACCUAAUAAUUUUUGCUCUUACCUUUAAGGGAUCCUAAUUUCCCCAUUGGAGACCCUAACCCCCUUAAGGUAGUACAAAUGACUAAUUUUCAUAUCAACAAAUAUUAUACCAAAAGUCCACAAGCUGAAUCCAUAUUGAUAUCCUGCUACAACUCAUCUCAAGGUUCUUUUAAUUGUUAGUAAUAGAGGUGGCCAAUAGGCUGGGCAGCACGCGGCAUGACAUGGAUACAAUAUGUGUCUAUUCAGCAAGAUUAGAGAUGGGCUAAAGCACAACACAUGAAAAGACCCGUAAUAAACACGUUUCAUUUUUUAAUGAUUUUACAAAAUGAUUAAAUUUUAUGAUUUUACAAAUAACUUGAAAUUGAAUCUUUUAAU